AAUAGAUACCCGGGUAGUCCACGCCGUAAACGAUGAGUGCUAAGUGUUGGGGGGUUUCCGCCCCUCAGUGCUGCAGCUAACGCAUUAAGCACUCCGCCUGGGGAGUACGGUCGCAAGACUGAAACUCAAAGGAAUUGACGGGGGCCCGCACAAGCGGUGGAGCAUGUGGUUUAAUUCGAAGCAACGCGAAGAACCUUACCAGGUCUUGACAUCCCGGUGACCACUAUGGAGACAUAGUUUCCCCUUCGGGGGCAACGGUGACAGGUGGUGCAUGGUUGUCGUCAGCUCGUGUCGUGAGAUGUUGGGUUAAGUCCCGCAACGAGCGCAACCCUUAUUCUUAGUUGCCAUCAUUCAGUUGGGCACUCUAAGGGGACUGCCGGUGAUAAACCGGAGGAAGGUGGGGAUGACGUCAAAUCAUCAUGCCCCUUAUGACCUGGGCUACACACGUGCUACAAUGGACGGUACAAACGGUUGCCAACCCGCGAGGGGGAGCUAAUCCGAUAAAACCGUUCUCAGUUCGGAUUGUAGGCUGCAACUCGCUACAUGAAGACC
RNAcentral lists this ribosomal RNA (552 nucleotides) under uncultured bacterium. RNAcentral's name for it is "bacterial SSU rRNA". It matches the Rfam family "Bacterial small subunit ribosomal RNA", at positions 777 to 1328 of the family's 1533-position model. The record is from RNAcentral.